Long non-coding RNA from Manis javanica (Malayan pangolin), 970 nucleotides. RefSeq lists it as uncharacterized. Lineage: Eukaryota; Metazoa; Chordata; Mammalia; Pholidota; Manidae. The record is from RefSeq and is a predicted model, not a curated record.
UCUGGGACCCAGGGACAGAGCCCUGCUGUGCCGUCAGAGCAAGCCUCACGCCUUUCUCACAGCAGUACCACCUUCAAGAUGGGAAAGUUACACAACCUCAUUUCUGCAUUCACAGAGGGACAGCGUGUGCCUGGCUACAAUGACAAAAGGUAAUUUCAGCCCAAAGGAUUAUGAAGCACAAUGGACACAGACCCUCCUGUGACUGACAGCCCCAAGCAAAACCAGCGUCUGAGGUCAGCAGGCCGUGCCUGGCCCCCCAAAAGCUCCUGUCCCGCCUGUUACCAGAUGUCCUCACAAGACACACCCUGCACAGGGCCGCGGGUGGCCAAGACGCAGUGAAGGCAGGUCUCCUCACCACGGCUGCAGGAGGCACCAGGCCUGUCACUCACCUGCCUUCUGCUCCAAGGGCCCAGCACCCCGAGAUCCUGAUGUCAGGCUUUCCUCCUGACUAUUUCCGACAACAUGGAGACAGCUGGCUCUGGAGACAGGAGCUCAGGGACGAGAAAAUCCCACGCAGGCUCACGCUCCUGAGAGCUGCUUCAGAGGCAGCCUGUCGUGACCACCCAGUGAGCAAGGGUAUGUCUACCCCCUGCAGAGGCACCCCGGGGCAGGACUGACCUGGCUUUACCCAUCCCUCCUGACUGCAGCCUGGGCAGAUAAGCAGAUGUCAGCCUGCGCUCAGGGAGGCUGGAGUUGCCCGGGACAGGGCCUCCGCGCAUACCUGACACCCUGCCCAGGUUACUGGGACCCUCUCCUUCCCACUGAUCUGGAUGGGUCCAGCCAGCCUUCUCGGACUGCAGUCUCCACCUGGACUGCACCAAGAAACACAACCACAAGAACCUUGGAGGUCGCCCACACCAGGCGGGCAGCAGGAAAGCACGGUGCACCACCCCAGCCCCAAAACCACGACCCCUGGAGCCUUGAGUGGGGCAGGGGUAGAGGGCCUGAGUCCGUGCUGAUCGCAGAACAA